UACCCCUUCCAUUUGGGGUAAUCCUACUAUGACAUGCGUAGAUGGUAACGUCAGGGUAUGAAGCUCAUAGGACAAUGUAGAGAAGUUUGGAAGUCUAAUCUGGAUCAUCUG
Molecule: non-coding RNA, 111 nt
Organism: Methanosarcina sp. MTP4
Lineage: Archaea; Methanobacteriati; Methanobacteriota; Methanomicrobia; Methanosarcinales; Methanosarcinaceae
Source: Rfam